This 435-nucleotide ribosomal RNA is filed under the name uncultured bacterium. Its description in RNAcentral is "partial 16S ribosomal RNA". It matches the Rfam family "Bacterial small subunit ribosomal RNA", at positions 29 to 507 of the family's 1533-position model. The record is from RNAcentral.
AGCGAACGCUGGCGGCAGGCUUAACACAUGCAAGUCGAGCGGGCUUAGCAAUAUGGCAGCGUCAGACGGGUGAGUAUCGCGUGGGAGCGUACCUUUUGGUUCGGAACAACUGAGGGAAACUUUAGCAAAUACCGGAUAUGCCGUUACGGGGAAAGAUUUAUCGCCGAAAGAUCGGGCCGCGUCUGAUUAGCUAGUUGGUUAGGUAAGUGCUCACCAAGGCGACGAUUAGUAGCUGGUCUGAGAGGAUGAUCAGCCACAUUGGGACUGAGACACGGCCCAAACUCCUACGGGAGGCAGCAGUGGGGAAUAUUGCACAAUGGGCGCAAGCCUGAUCCAGCCAUGCCGCGUGAGUGAUGAAGGCCCUAGGGUUGUAAAGCUCUUUUGUACGGGAAGAUAAUGACGGUACCGCAAGAAUAAGCCCCGGCUAACUUCGUG